This 47-nucleotide non-coding RNA is filed under the name Nitratireductor pacificus pht-3B. RNAcentral's name for it is "Nitratireductor sp. Pht-3B Guanidine-II riboswitch aptamer (mini-ykkC)". It matches the Rfam family "Guanidine-II riboswitch aptamer (mini-ykkC)". From Rfam's summary of the family: Simpler in structure and has fewer highly conserved nucleotide positions than the ykkC-yxkD leader. Despite this each of its two stem-loop structures directly bind free guanidine. Therefore, mini-ykkC RNA motif represents a distinct class of guanidine-sensing RNAs. Lineage: Bacteria; Pseudomonadati; Pseudomonadota; Alphaproteobacteria; Hyphomicrobiales; Phyllobacteriaceae. The record is from Rfam by way of RNAcentral. RNAcentral also lists the same sequence under 1 other name.
GGCUCGGGACGACCCGCGCCGUUGAACUGCAUUCCGGGACGACCCGG